UAUAUUUUAAUGAGUGACGAAACCAGAAUUUCGAAAUAAUUAAUUGAAAUUAAAGUUAUACUCCCAAUUCACUGAAUUUUGGAGGUUAGUAUUUUAAUGAUUUUGAUUGCAUUUAUGUAGUGAUUGACAUUCAAGCUAAAUGUGAAUAGCAUGUUGACGGUGGGGUAUAAAGUGGACAUCACAUCUACGUGGGUGUGGCCCAAAGAAAUUAAUGGUUUCUGCCUUUUCAUCCUUACGUAUAUAAGAAUAACCAUCGUCAUGUUAAUCAAUGCAAGAUCCAAGUAUACAAUAUACCUCUCUUGUAGUAUUUUGCUUGAUCAUGGUUGAGGGGAAUUUCGGCUGGUUCGAGAUCUUUCGUUUGGAAUAUAGAUUGUGUAUCAUCGGAAUGAUCUCGGACCAGGCUUCAUUCCCCCUAACCCUGAGAAUUAUCUGGUCUCUGUUACAUCUAUCUGAUAAUGGUUUCAGGUUCUGAUCUGUACAUUUCUGAAAUGCUUACCAAGUGUUCAUCUAAGCUACAAUACUAUUUUAUUAGUCUCGCUUUUAUGUAAAGCUAAUUAGCUGGAUGACUGCAGCUGAGAACACUGAGAACGAAUCGAGGUUGCAUCCGGAUUAUUUUCAGUUGUUGCAGAGGGACAGACAAUCUUCUUGAAGGCUGAAGCUGUCAUAGUCUGGGGCGGGUAUAGGAAGAGGCUCAUACGAGAUUGAGACAGGUCAAUAGCACCAAACAUUGACAUCACGUUAAAACCAUACCGGAGAUGGUCAAAUUUGAACUGAAUUAAAUAAAUUUACCUUCUUUCUUUAUUAUAUGAUACAGAUUCAGUUCUCUUCCCGUCUUUCAUGUAAUUUACAAAGUAAAGUUGUUUGUUUGUCAAUCUGAAAACUGGGAAACACACAGUAACAGUUUAUUUACUGCAAUGUUCUUGUACAAGACUAGUUUUACUCCAGCUCUUGAUUAUGUUUGAUUCACUGUCAUUUACACAUGUCGCACUGUUUUCGUGCACAAGUUAUCUAAGCACACAAACUUAGAAUCACUGAUCCUUUUUACAAUCUUUCACUAAUUUGCAGUAACUUUUAACAAAAAAUUUAACUAAUCUGACCAUGCAUUACUUGUGUGAACACAUGGUAGUUGAAGCAUAAUCACUCUUUAUCUUAAAGAAAACAUGAUAAUUAGGCUUAUCCCUAUUACUUUUUGACUAAUUAACUGCAUAAUUAGUUAUAACAAAAAAUGUGGAAAAAGUAGGCGACGAAAUUAUUUACUUAUCCGCGUUGAAAUUAAAGAGAGCAGCGUAUGUACGUGCGCGUAGCGUAGGUCGGGCCUCAAAAAAUAAAGUCUAGAAAGAAGAUCUUGCAAACAAAAAGCCAAACAUAGCUUUAAUACCCAUCUAUAACAACUUUACGUCUUGCUGAAUACGGGUGCUUUCUUGCAUGAUUAUUUAAUCAUGUAAUCAAGAACAGUAGUUUCUUCAAUCAUAUCAGCCUAUUCGAUCGGCUAUUCCUCGCAAGCUAUCUAUUCUUAGGCCAUGGGCGGAUUGAAGGGGCCCAAAGGAGGUAAACGUAAACUUCUUCGUUGUACUAGUGUUUGAUGCUUAAAAUCACAGUUCGUAGGACUAUGGUUCUACUUGUUAAUAAUUUUGCCUUAAUUAAAUUAACACUUGUGUUCAAGCUAAAGGAAUAUCAAGGGGAUUUGGGCUUCCUACACCGUAAAUGUGACGUCGAGGCCUUCCUGCACCGUACAUGUGACACUAAUUCAGAGUUGUGUUGACGGGACGCAAGGACGGAGCUAAGAUUUUAGUCUAGAUAGGGAAAAAAAAUUCUGUUAACAGAACAACAUUGUUGCCACAAGUUGAAUUCCAACUUGUGCCUUUGUUGGGAAGGUCGAGCUCCACGUUCAUAGGGGUAAAACAAAUUUUCUAUUAAAUACAGUAUAUAAAAGAUAUACGAAUAUAUUAUGAAGGUCAAUGGGGCAAGUAUCCUCAGUGCCUUACGCCGUUCUGACGGGACUGAUCUAAUAAGCUGCAGCAGUUACGGGGCCAUAUCAUGACCCUCGCAAUCAUGCUCCGAGGAGAAUUAGAUCGAUGGGAGAAGGCCCAGAGCUGACAGGAAAAGCUUUGUGCAUACAAGAACAUUUGAUGAUGUUUAUCUUUGUUUAUUUGGACAAAUUUUGUUGUUUUUUUCCUCUUUUGACAUGAUGACAAAUUCUUCGGAUUAUAACGCAGAAGCCUGAUCAGUUUAUUGA
Long non-coding RNA from Daucus carota subsp. sativus, 2236 nucleotides. RefSeq lists it as uncharacterized. The transcript is spliced from 2 exons. NCBI's taxonomy places the organism in Eukaryota, Viridiplantae, Streptophyta, Magnoliopsida, Apiales, Apiaceae. The record is from RefSeq and is a predicted model, not a curated record.